AUUUAUUACCGACGCAAACUUUGCUUUUCAGGCAGCUGCUUGGGGACUACGAGCGUGUGCUUAAAACUCAAAGAACUUGGCGGCUUGUUAACUACCUAGGGGAAUAUGUGCCUUAAUCCGAUGAUCCCCGUCGCAUCUUACUAGGCCUUGAAAAAGUGCAGCUGGUGUAUUGCCGUUGUCAGCUUGUUGUUCGAGCAAGGAGUAACAGGCUUAAUGGAGCCGUAGCGAUUAUAUCGUUGGUGUCCGUGAAUUCAGGUCGUAAUACCGCCUACGGCCUAAGGGAGUAGGUGUUACAAUUUAGAUUUAAAAAUACGGAUCUUUAUUUUGAAAUAUUAGGGUGAAGGUGAACUUAGGAGUAAGGGGGAAUUAAUAUGUUUCCCUGAACAUGAAUCUGGCUUGUGUACAAACUGCCCGUCGCUCUCGCCGAGAGGUGAGAUAAGU
This 441-nucleotide ribosomal RNA is filed under the name Ylistrum balloti. Its description in RNAcentral is "partial 12S ribosomal RNA". It matches the Rfam family "Bacterial small subunit ribosomal RNA", at positions 874 to 1486 of the family's 1533-position model. The record is from RNAcentral. Lineage: Eukaryota; Metazoa; Mollusca; Bivalvia; Pectinida; Pectinidae.